This 550-nucleotide ribosomal RNA is filed under the name uncultured archaeon. RNAcentral's name for it is "bacterial SSU rRNA". It matches the Rfam family "Archaeal small subunit ribosomal RNA", at positions 329 to 879 of the family's 1478-position model. The record is from RNAcentral.
GGUGCAGCAGGCGCGAAAACUUUACAAUGCUGGCAACAGCGAUAAGGGGACCUCGAGUGCCAGGAUACAAUCUUGGCUGUCGUGAUGCCUAAAAAGCAUUACAUAGCAAGGGCCGGGCAAGACCGGUGCCAGCCGCCGCGGUAACACCGGCGGCUCGAGUGGUAACCGCUAUUAUUGGGUCUAAAGGGUCUGUAGCCGGCCGGAUAAGUCUCUUGGGAAAUCCAGUAGCUCAACUGUUGGGCUUCCAGGGGAUACUGUUCGGCUCGAGGCCGGGAGAGGUGAGAGGUACUUCAGGGGUAGGGGUGAAAUCUUGUAAUCCUUGAAGGACCACCAGUGGCGAAGGCGUCUCACCAGAACGGUCCUGACGGCAAGGGACGAAAGCUAGGGGCACGAACCGGAUUAGAUACCCGGGUAGUCCUAGCCGUAAACGAUACUCGCUAGGUGUCAGCCACGGUGCGACCGUGGUUGGUGCCGUAGGGAAGCCGUGAAGCGAGCCACCUGGGAAGUACGGCCGCAAGGCUGAAACUUAAAGGAAUUGGCGGGGGAGCAC